RNAcentral lists this ribosomal RNA (229 nucleotides) under uncultured bacterium. RNAcentral describes it as "partial 16S ribosomal RNA". It matches the Rfam family "Bacterial small subunit ribosomal RNA", at positions 568 to 796 of the family's 1533-position model. The record is from RNAcentral.
CGUCUAGGCGGAUCGGUAAGUCGGCUGUGAAAUCCCUCGGCUCAACCGAGGAAGUGCAUCCGAUACUGUCGGUCUUGAGGACGAGAGGGGAGAGUGGAACUCCUGGUGGAGCGGUGAAAUGCGUAGAUAUCAGGAGGAACGCCGGUGGCGAAAGCGACUCUCUGGCUCGUUUCUGACGCUGAAGCGCGAAAGCUAGGGGAGCGAACAGGAUUAGAUACCCUGGUAGUCC